AGAGUUUGAUCCUGGCUCAGGAUGAACGCUAGCGGCAGGCCUAAUACAUGCAAGUCGAGCGGCAAGUCGAGGAGUAAUCUAAGACCUAGAGCGGCGUACGGGUGCGUAACGCGUAUGCAACCUACCUCAUACAGGGGGAUAGCCCGGAGAAAUCUGGAUUAAUACCCCAUGGCACUGCGAAGAGGCAUUUCUAUGCAGUUAAAGAUUUAUCGGUAUGAGAUGGGCAUGCGUCUGAUUAGCUAGUUGGCGGUGUAACGGACCACCAAGGCGACGAUCAGUAGGGGUUCUGAGAGGAAGGUCCCCCACACUGGCACUGAGAUACGGGCCAGACUCCUACGGGAGGCAGCAGUAGGGAAUAUUGGGCAAUGGUCGGAAGACUGACCCAGCCAUGCCGCGUGCAGGAAGAAGGCGUUCUGCGUUGUAAACUGCUUUUACCUGGGAAGAAAAGGCCCGUGCGCGGGACAUUGCCGGUACCAGAUGAAUAAGCACCGGCUAACUCC
This 500-nucleotide ribosomal RNA is filed under the name uncultured bacterium. RNAcentral's name for it is "bacterial SSU rRNA". It matches the Rfam family "Bacterial small subunit ribosomal RNA", at positions 8 to 504 of the family's 1533-position model. The record is from RNAcentral.